UACAGAGGCCUCGAGCGUUAGGCGGAAUCACUGGGCUUAAAGCGUGUGUAGGCGGAUUGGUAAGUACCUUGUGAAAUCCCACAGCUUAACUGUGGAACUGCUCGGUAUACUGCUGAUCUUGAGCCACUCAGGGGCUACCGGAACAAAUGGUGGAGCGGUGAAAUGCGUAGAUAUCAUUUGGAACGCCAAUGGUGAAAACAGGUAGCUGGGGGUGUGACUGACGCUGGAGACACGAAAGCCAGGGGAGCAAAACGGG
RNAcentral lists this ribosomal RNA (256 nucleotides) under uncultured bacterium. RNAcentral describes it as "partial 16S ribosomal RNA". It matches the Rfam family "Bacterial small subunit ribosomal RNA", at positions 524 to 777 of the family's 1533-position model. The record is from RNAcentral.